This 493-nucleotide ribosomal RNA is filed under the name uncultured bacterium. Its description in RNAcentral is "partial 16S ribosomal RNA". It matches the Rfam family "Bacterial small subunit ribosomal RNA", at positions 29 to 523 of the family's 1533-position model. The record is from RNAcentral.
AUUGAACGCUGGCGGCAUGCUUUACACAUGCAAGUCGAACGGUAACAGGUUAAGCUGACGAGUGGCGAACGGGUGAGUAAUGCAUCGGAACGUGCCCGAUCGUGGGGGAUAACGCAGCGAAAGCUGCGCUAAUACCGCAUACGAUCUGAGGAUGAAAGCGGGGGACCGUAAGGCCUCGCGCGAUCGGAGCGGCCGAUGGCAGAUUAGGUAGUUGGGGGGGUAAAGGCUCACCAAGCCGACGAUCUGUAGCUGGUGUGAGAGGACGACCAGCCCGCCUGGGACUGAGAAGCGGCCCAGACUCAUACGGGAGGCAGCAGUGGGGUAUUUUGGACAAUGGGCGGAAGCCUGGUCCAGCAAUGCCGCGUGCAGGAAGAAGGCCUUCGGGUUGUAAACUGCUUUUGUACGGAGCGAAAAGGCUCUCUCUAAUACAGGGGGCUCAUGACGGUACCGUAAGAGUAAGCACCGGCUAACUACGUGCCAGCAGCCGCGGUAA